UUGUUUUGCCUUUAACCUCCU
RNAcentral lists this non-coding RNA (21 nucleotides) under Caenorhabditis elegans. The record is from RNAcentral. Lineage: Eukaryota; Metazoa; Nematoda; Chromadorea; Rhabditida; Rhabditidae.